This 767-nucleotide long non-coding RNA is filed under the name Chrysolophus pictus (golden pheasant). RNAcentral describes it as "lncRNA (ENSCPIG00010004289.1)". The record is from RNAcentral. Lineage: Eukaryota; Metazoa; Chordata; Aves; Galliformes; Phasianidae.
GAGCUUUCACAUGCUGCUCCUUUACUUACUGUUUUUUUCUGUUGCCUGUGGCAGGAGAUUUUCCAUCAGAUCAGUUGGUGCAGAAAGGUCAUCGAGUCCAGAGGGCUUUCUUCAAAGAUAUCCAUGCCUUGCCCCUUGUCCCUAACCCAGUGGUGUGUUUGGAAGCAGGAGACACAAUCCUUUUCCAGCUUAGCAUCAAUUCUCACAAUCGUGCAUCCAGCCACUACCCUGUUUAUCAGAAGCAACAUCUUUAUAACAGCAACCCUAGCUGGGAUUAUGGACCCUUCCGAAGGCUGGACCACCUCAUCCAGGAGACUCACCUCAACAUCUCCUGGUUUGCCCAUGUUUUCCUGGAGUCUGGGACAUACGUAUUCAGGGAUAGGACCAUUCAGGAGCACUUUUUGAUUGUGACUGUGAACGAAGCAAAUGUGGGCUGUGACCCCAGAGAUGUGUCCUUCCAGCCCUCUUCUCUGUUCCAGCUGGCCAGACAUGGGAUUUUGAAGCAGCAGGAACUGAACUUGGCUCCUAACUGGGCUUCCAUUAUAGCGGUGCUCUUCAUUCUGGGCUUCCUAAUUGUGCUGCUGACAACCCUGGCUAUUGUGCUGCAGCCCAGUGUCCCUGUCCUUAGUCCCCUGAGGAGCUGGAAGCCACGAUGGAGGAGCCUGGGUGAGCCACACAUCCCACCAGAGUAUGUCCUCCUUAAAGAAAGGUGAGCUGCCUUAACAUGGUGGAUAAUCAGGAGCUUGGACCUCGAUAGUAUAGUCAUA